GUGAAGAACGUAGUAAAAUGCGAUAAGUAAUGUGAAUUGCAGAAUUCAGUGAAUCAUCGAAUCUUUGAACGCACAUUGCGCCCGCCAGUAUUCUGGCGGGCAUGCCUGUUCGAGCGUCAUUUCAACCCUCAAGCACAGCUUGGUGUUGGGACUCGCGUUAAUUCGCGUUCCUCAAAUUGAUUGGCGGUCACGUCGAGCUUCCAUAGCGUAGUAGUAAAACCCUCGUUACUGGUAAUCGUCGCGGCCACGCCGUUAAACCCCAACUUCUGAAUGUUGACCUCGGAUCAGGUAGGAAUACCCGCUGAACUUAAGCAUAUCAAUAAGCGGAGGA
Molecule: unclassified non-coding RNA, 331 nt
Filed under: soil metagenome
Description: partial contains 5.8S ribosomal RNA, internal transcribed spacer 2, and large subunit ribosomal RNA
Rfam family: 5.8S ribosomal RNA (bases 2-119)
Source: RNAcentral